Molecule: ribosomal RNA, 270 nt
Filed under: uncultured Streptococcus sp.
Lineage: Bacteria; Bacillati; Bacillota; Bacilli; Lactobacillales; Streptococcaceae
Description: partial 16S ribosomal RNA
Rfam family: Bacterial small subunit ribosomal RNA
Source: RNAcentral
GUAGUUGCCAUCAUUCAGUUGGGCACUCUAGCGAGACUGCCGGUAAUAAACCGGAGGAAAGUGGGGACGACGUCAAAUCAUCAUGCCCCUUAUGACCUGGGCUACACACGUGCUACAAUGGUUGGUACAACGAGUUGCGAGUCGGUGACGGCGAGCUAAUCUCUUAAAGCCAAUCUCAGUUCGGAUUGUAGGCUGCAACUCGCCUACAUGAAGUCGGAAUCGCUAGUAAUCGCGGAUCAGCACGCCGCGGUGAAUACGUUCCCGGGCCUU